AGAUUAAGUUAUUAAGGGCGCACGGUGGAUGCCUUGGCACUAGAAGCCGAUGAAGGACGUUACUAACGACGAUAUGCUUUGGGGAGCUGUAAGUAAGCUUUGAUCCAGAGAUUUCCGAAUGGGGAAACCCAGCAUGAGUUAUGUCAUGUUAUCGAUAUGUGAAUACAUAGCAUAUCAGAAGGCACACCCGGAGAACUGAAACAUCUUAGUACCCGGAGGAAGAGAAAGAAAAUUCGAUUCCCUUAGUAGCGGCGAGCGAAACGGGAAGAGCCCAAACCAACAAGCUUGCUUGUUGGGGUUGUAGGACACUCUAUACGGAGUUACAAAGGACGACAUUAGACGAAUCAUCUGGAAAGAUGAAUCAAAGAAGGUAAUAAUCCUGUAGUCGAAAAUGUUGUCUCUCUUGAGUGGAUCCUGAGUACGACGGAGCACGUGAAAUUCCGUCGGAAUCUGGGAGGACCAUCUCCUAAGGCUAAAUACUCUCUAGUGACCGAUAGUGAACCAGUACCGUGAGGGAAAGGUGAAAAGCACCCCGGAAGGGGAGUGAAAUAGAACCUGAAACCGUGUGCUUACAAGUAGUCAGAGCCCGUUAAUGGGUGAUGGCGUGCCUUUUGUAGAAUGAACCGGCGAGUUACGAUUUGAUGCAAGGUUAAGCAGUAAAUGUGGAGCCGUAGCGAAAGCGAGUCUGAAUAGGGCGUUUAGUAUUUGGUCGUAGACCCGAAACCAGGUGAUCUACCCUUGGUCAGGUUGAAGUUCAGGUAACACUGAAUGGAGGACCGAACCGACUUACGUUGAAAAGUGAGCGGAUGAACUGAGGGUAGCGGAGAAAUUCCAAUCGAACCUGGAGAUAGCUGGUUCUCUCCGAAAUAGCUUUAGGGCUAGCCUCAAGUGAUGAUUAUUGGAGGUAGAGCACUGUUUGGACGAGGGGCCCCUCUCGGGUUACCGAAUUCAGACAAACUCCGAAUGCCAAUUAAUUUAACUUGGGAGUCAGAACAUGGGUGAUAAGGUCCGUGUUCGAAAGGGAAACAGCCCAGACCACCAGCUAAGGUCCCAAAAUAUAUGUUAAGUGGAAAAGGAUGUGGCGUUGCCCAGACAACUAGGAUGUUGGCUUAGAAGCAGCCAUCAUUUAAAGAGUGCGUAAUAGCUCACUAGUCGAGUGACACUGCGCCGAAAAUGUACCGGGGCUAAACAUAUUACCGAAGCUGUGGAUUGUCCUUUGGACAAUGGUAGGAGAGCGUUCUAAGGGCGUUGAAGCAUGAUCGUAAGGACAUGUGGAGCGCUUAGAAGUGAGAAUGCCGGUGUGAGUAGCGAAAGACGGGUGAGAAUCCCGUCCACCGAUUGACUAAGGUUUCCAGAGGAAGGCUCGUCCGCUCUGGGUUAGUCGGGUCCUAAGCUGAGGCCGACAGGCGUAGGCGAUGGAUAACAGGUUGAUAUUCCUGUACCACCUAUAAUCGUUUUAAUCGAUNGGGGGGACGCAGUAGGAUAGGCGAAGCGUGCGAUUGGAUUGCACGUCUAAGCAGUAAGGCUGAGUAUUAGGCAAAUCCGGUACUCAUUAAGGCUGAGCUGUGAUGGGGAGAAGACAUUGUGUCUUCGAGUCGUUGAUUUCACACUGCCGAGAAAAGCCUCUAGAUAGAAAAUAGGUGCCCGUACCGCAAACCGACACAGGUAGUCAAGAUGAGAAUUCUAAGGUGAGCGAGCGA
RNAcentral lists this ribosomal RNA (1700 nucleotides) under Staphylococcus aureus. RNAcentral's name for it is "bacterial LSU rRNA". It matches the Rfam family "Bacterial large subunit ribosomal RNA", at positions 1 to 1697 of the family's 2925-position model. The record is from RNAcentral. Lineage: Bacteria; Bacillati; Bacillota; Bacilli; Caryophanales; Staphylococcaceae.